ACUAAGCGUACACGGUGGAUGCCCUGGCAGUCAGAGGCGAUGAAGGACGUGCUAAUCUGCGAUAAGCGUCGGUAAGGUGAUAUGAACCGUUAUAACCGGCGAUUUCCGAAUGGGGAAACCCAGUGUGAUUCGUCACACUAUCAUUAACUGAAUCCAUAGGUUAAUGAGGCGAACCGGGGGAACUGAAACAUCUAAGUACCCCGAGGAAAAGAAAUCAACCGAGAUUCCCCCAGUAGCGGCGAGCGAACGGGGAGCAGCCCAGAGCCUGAAUCAGUGUGUGUGUUAGUGGAAGCGUCUGGAAAGGCGCGCGAUACAGGGUGACAGCCCCGUACACAAAAAUGCACAUGCUGUGAGCUCGAUGAGUAGGGCGGGACACGUGGUAUCCUGUCUGAAUAUGGGGGGACCAUCCUCCAAGGCUAAAUACUCCUGACUGACCGAUAGUGAACCAGUACCGUGAGGGAAAGGCGAAAAGAACCCCGGCGAGGGGAGUGAAAAAGAACCUGAAACCGUGUACGUACAAGCAGUGGGAGCACGCUUAGGCGUGUGACUGCGUACCUUUUGUAUAAUGGGUCAGCGACUUAUAUUCUGUAGCAAGGUUAACCGAAUAGGGGAGCCGAAGGGAAACCGAGUCUUAACUGGGCGUUAAGUUGCAGGGUAUAGACCCGAAACCCGGUGAUCUAGCCAUGGGCAGGUUGAAGGUUGGGUAACACUAACUGGAGGACCGAACCGACUAAUGUUGAAAAAUUAGCGGAUGACUUGUGGCUGGGGGUGAAAGGCCAAUCAAACCGGGAGAUAGCUGGUUCUCCCCGAAAGCUAUUUAGGUAGCGCCUCGUGAAUUCAUCUCCGGGGGUAGAGCACUGUUUCGGCAAGGGGGUCAUCCCGACUUACCAACCCGAUGCAAACUGCGAAUACCGGAGAAUGUUAUCACGGGAGACACACGGCGGGUGCUAACGUCCGUCGUGAAGAGGGAAACAACCCAGACCGCCAGCUAAGGUCCCAAAGUCAUGGUUAAGUGGGAAACGAUGUGGGAAGGCCCAGACAGCCAGGAUGUUGGCUUAGAAGCAGCCAUCAUUUAAAGAAAGCGUAAUAGCUCACUGGUCGAGUCGGCCUGCGCGGAAGAUGUAACGGGGCUAAACCAUGCACCGAAGCUGCGGCAGCGACGCUGAUGCGUUGUUGGGUAGGGGAGCGUUCUGUAAGCCUGCGAAGGUGUGCUGUGAGGCAUGCUGGAGGUAUCAGAAGUGCGAAUGCUGACAUAAGUAACGAUAAAGCGGGUGAAAAGCCCGCUCGCCGGAAGACCAAGGGUUCCUGUCCAACGUUAAUCGGGGCAGGGUGAGUCGACCCCUAAGGCGAGGCCGAAAGGCGUAGUCGAUGGGAAACAGGUUAAUAUUCCUGUACUUGGUGUUACUGCGAAGGGGGGACGGAGAAGGCUAUGUUGGCCGGGCGACGGUUGUCCCGGUUUAAGCGUGUAGGCUGGUUUUCCAGGCAAAUCCGGAAAAUCAAGGCUGAGGCGUGAUGACGAGGCACUACGGUGCUGAAGCAACAAAUGCCCUGCUUCCAGGAAAAGCCUCUAAGCAUCAGGUAACAUCAAAUCGUACCCCAAACCGACACAGGUGGUCAGGUAGAGAAUACCAAGGCGCUUGAGAGAACUCGGGUGAAGGAACUAGGCAAAAUGGUGCCGUAACUUCGGGAGAAGGCACGCUGAUAUGUAGGUGAAGUCCCUCGCGGAUGGAGCUGAAAUCAGUCGAAGAUACCAGCUGGCUGCAACUGUUUAUUAAAAACACAGCACUGUGCAAACACGAAAGUGGACGUAUACGGUGUGACGCCUGCCCGGUGCCGGAAGGUUAAUUGAUGGGGUUAGCGCAAGCGAAGCUCUUGAUCGAAGCCCCGGUAAACGGCGGCCGUAACUAUAACGGUCCUAAGGUAGCGAAAUUCCUUGUCGGGUAAGUUCCGACCUGCACGAAUGGCGUAAUGAUGGCCAGGCUGUCUCCACCCGAGACUCAGUGAAAUUGAACUCGCUGUGAAGAUGCAGUGUACCCGCGGCAAGACGGAAAGACCCCGUGAACCUUUACUAUAGCUUGACACUGAACAUUGAGCCUUGAUGUGUAGGAUAGGUGGGAGGCUUUGAAGUGUGGACGCCAGUCUGCAUGGAGCCGACCUUGAAAUACCACCCUUUAAUGUUUGAUGUUCUAACGUGGACCCGUAAUCCGGGUUGCGGACAGUGUCUGGUGGGUAGUUUGACUGGGGCGGUCUCCUCCUAAAGAGUAACGGAGGAGCACGAAGGUUGGCUAAUCCUGGUCGGACAUCAGGAGGUUAGUGCAAUGGCAUAAGCCAGCUUGACUGCGAGCGUGACGGCGCGAGCAGGUGCGAAAGCAGGUCAUAGUGAUCCGGUGGUUCUGAAUGGAAGGGCCAUCGCUCAACGGAUAAAAGGUACUCCGGGGAUAACAGGCUGAUACCGCCCAAGAGUUCAUAUCGACGGCGGUGUUUGGCACCUCGAUGUCGGCUCAUCACAUCCUGGGGCUGAAGUAGGUCCCAAGGGUAUGGCUGUUCGCCAUUUAAAGUGGUACGCGAGCUGGGUUUAGAACGUCGUGAGACAGUUCGGUCCCUAUCUGCCGUGGGCGCUGGAGAAUUGAGGGGGGCUGCUCCUAGUACGAGAGGACCGGAGUGGACGCAUCACUGGUGUUCGGGUUGUCAUGCCAAUGGCACUGCCCGGUAGCUAAAUGCGGAAGAGAUAAGUGCUGAAAGCAUCUAAGCACGAAACUUGCCCCGAGAUGAGUUCUCCCUGACUCCUUGAGAGUCCUGAAGGAACGUUGAAGACGACGACGUUGAUAGGCCGGGUGUGUAAGCGCAGCGAUGCGUUGAGCUAACCGGUACUAAUGAACCGUGAGGCUUAACC
RNAcentral lists this ribosomal RNA (2893 nucleotides) under Escherichia coli. Its description in RNAcentral is "bacterial LSU rRNA". It matches the Rfam family "Bacterial large subunit ribosomal RNA". The record is from RNAcentral. Lineage: Bacteria; Pseudomonadati; Pseudomonadota; Gammaproteobacteria; Enterobacterales; Enterobacteriaceae. RNAcentral also lists the same sequence under 1 other name.